This 87-nucleotide transfer RNA is filed under the name Neorhodopirellula lusitana. RNAcentral describes it as "Rhodopirellula lusitana tRNA_Ser_TGA". It matches the Rfam family "tRNA". From Rfam's summary of the family: Transfer RNA (tRNA) molecules are approximately 80 nucleotides in length. Their secondary structure includes four short double-helical elements and three loops (D, anti-codon, and T loops). RNAcentral also lists the same sequence under 1 other name. The record is from RNAcentral. Lineage: Bacteria; Pseudomonadati; Planctomycetota; Planctomycetia; Pirellulales; Pirellulaceae.
GGAUGGGUGUCCGAGUGGUCGAAGGAUCUAGUCUUGAAAACUAGCGUAGGGGUAACUCUACCGUGGGUUCGAAUCCCACCCCAUCCG